AACGAACGCUGGCGGCAGGCUUAACACAUGCAAGUCGAACGGACGUAGCAAUACGUUAGUGGCGCACGGGUGAGUAACACGUGGAUAUCUGCCUUUUGGUUCGGGAUAACCCUGGGAAACUAGGGCUAAUACCGAAUGGUUCCUACGGGAUAAAGAUUUAUCGCCAAAAGAUGAGUCCGCGUACCGAUUAGCUAGUUGGUGAGGUAAUGGCUCACCAAGGCGACGAUCGGUAGCUGGUCNGAGAGGACGAUCAGCCACACUGGGACUGAGACACGGCCCAGACUCCUACGGGAGGCAGCAGUGGGGAAUAUUGGACAAUGGGGGCAACCCUGAUCCAGCCAUGCCG
This 346-nucleotide ribosomal RNA is filed under the name uncultured bacterium. Its description in RNAcentral is "bacterial SSU rRNA". It matches the Rfam family "Bacterial small subunit ribosomal RNA", at positions 29 to 399 of the family's 1533-position model. The record is from RNAcentral.